AAGAAGAAGAAGAAGAAGAAGCAGUGUGUGUGCGUGUUUCUCGCUCGUUCGAGAUUCGAUCCACCACAAAAACAACUUUUUCACUCAAUUCAAUUCAUUGAAUUUCAUCCAAACAAACAAACAACUCCAAGUAAAUAAUAGACAGUAGCGACCCUGCGACAGUGUGUGUGUGUGUUUCUUUUUUUUUUUUUUUUUUGGUAAAAUCGGAUAUAUAUAGUACUGUCAAGUGAGUGUCAACAACUAACUAAGGAGUAUGGAAUGCUGUUUCCGGUUUUAUAAAUUUAGUCCUUCAUCUCAUCAACAAUCAACAAUUUCAUUUGUUUCUUUCUUAAUUAAUAUUUGCUCCUUCAAUCAAUCAAUCUGCACUUAACCAAAAACCUCUAUUUUUAUUUAUACUGUACUAAUAAUUGUUGUGGAUUAAACUUAAACCAGAGCAUAUCAAUAUCAUCAUCAUGUCCAUAACAAAACUAAAUUACUAAACAAUAAUUGGAAAACUACAGUAGUGGGAAUCUCCAGUAUAAUAAUCUCUUCAAAGAAAACAAUACAAUAUGAUUUUGUUUGCCCAUGCUAUUUUUUUUAAGUCAUGGAAGUUCAGCACCAGUUCAGUUCACAAAGAAUAUACAUACUGUGUCUCUGUUUCAAAAUGCCAGUA
RNAcentral lists this long non-coding RNA (652 nucleotides) under Aquilegia coerulea. RNAcentral's name for it is "long non-coding RNA (ACOE_LNC001129)". The record is from RNAcentral. Lineage: Eukaryota; Viridiplantae; Streptophyta; Magnoliopsida; Ranunculales; Ranunculaceae.